AUUGAACGCUGGCGGCAGGCCUAACACAAGUGCAAGUCGAGCGGUAGAGAGAAGCUUGCUUCUCUUGAGAGCGGCGGACGGGUGAGUAAUGCCUAGGAAUCUGCCUAGUGGUGGGGGAUAACGUUCGGAAACGGACGCUAAUACCGCAUUACGGUCCUACGGGAGAAAGCGGGGGAUCUUCGGACCUCGCGCCAUUAGAUGAGCCUAGGUCGGAUUAGCUAGUUGGUGAGGUAAUGGCUCACCAAGCCAACGAUCUGUAGCUGGUCUGAGAGGACGACCAGCCACACUGGAACUGAGACACGGUCCAGACUCCUACGGGAGGCAGCAGUGGGGAAUUUUGGACAAUGGACGCAAGUCUGAUCCAGCC
RNAcentral lists this ribosomal RNA (367 nucleotides) under uncultured bacterium. Its description in RNAcentral is "bacterial SSU rRNA". It matches the Rfam family "Bacterial small subunit ribosomal RNA", at positions 30 to 393 of the family's 1533-position model. The record is from RNAcentral.